AGAGUUUGAUCCUGGCUCAGGAUGAACGCUAGCUACAGGCUUAACACAUGCAAGUCGAGGGGCAGCGGGGAGAAAGCUUGCUUUCUUUGCCGGCGACCGGCGCACGGGUGAGUAACGCGUAUCCAACCUUCCCUAUAGUAGCGGAUAGCCCGGCGAAAGUCGGAUUAAUACGCUAUGUUGUAUUUAGAGGACAUCUGAAGAAUACCAAAGGUUUACCGCUAUAGGAUGGGGAUGCGUCUGAUUAGGUUGUUGGCGGGGUAACGGCCCACCAAGCCAUCGAUCAGUAGGGGUUCUGAGAGGAAGGUCCCCCACAUUGGAACUGAGACACGGUCCAAACUCCUACGGGAGGCAGCAGUGAGGAAUAUUGGUCAAUGGGCGAGAGCCUGAACCAGCCAAGUAACGUGCAGGAUGACGGCCCUAUGGGUUGUAAACUGCUUUUAUCGGGGGAUAAAGUGCGGGACGCGUCCCGUUUUGUAGGUACCCGAUGAAUAAGGACCGGCUAAUUCCGUGCCAGCAGCCGCGGUAAUACGGAAGGUCCGGGCGUUAUCCGGAUUUAUUGGGUUUAAAGGGAGCGCAGGCCGGAGGUCAAGCGUGACGUGAAAUGUAGCCGCUCAACGGCUGAACUGCGUCGCGAACUGGCUUUCUUGAGUGAGUUCGAUGUGGGCGGAAUUCGUGGUGUAGCGGUGAAAUGCUUAGAUAUCACGAAGAACUCCGAUUGCGAAGGCAGCCCACAAGGCCUUUACUGACGCUAAAGCUCGAAGGUGCGGGUAUCGAACAGGAUUAGAUACCCUGGUAGUCCGCACGGUAAACGAUGG
RNAcentral lists this ribosomal RNA (815 nucleotides) under uncultured bacterium. RNAcentral's name for it is "bacterial SSU rRNA". It matches the Rfam family "Bacterial small subunit ribosomal RNA", at positions 8 to 812 of the family's 1533-position model. The record is from RNAcentral.